Molecule: ribosomal RNA, 253 nt
Filed under: uncultured bacterium
Lineage: Bacteria
Description: partial 16S ribosomal RNA
Rfam family: Bacterial small subunit ribosomal RNA
Source: RNAcentral
UACGUAGGUGGCAAGCGUUGUCCGGAAUUAUUGGGCGUAAAGCGCGCGCAGGUGGUUUCUUAAGUCUGAUGUGAAAGCCCACGGCUCAACCGUGGAGGGUCAUUGGAAACCGGGGAACUUGAGUGCAGAAGAGGAAAGUGGAAUUCCAAGUGUAGCGGUGAAAUGCGUAGAGAUUUGGAGGAACACCAGUGGCGAAGGCGACUUUCUGGUCUGUAACUGACACUGAGGCGCGAAAGCGUGGGGAGCGAACAGG